GAAGAAGAAACCCACAGGGAUUACCUCAGUAACGGCGAGUGAAGCGGUAACAGCUCAAAUUUGAAAUCUGGCCUCACGGUCCGAGUUGUAAUUUGUAGAGGAUGCUUCGAGCAUGGUCUGGCCUAAGUUCCUUGGAACAGGACGUCAUAGAGGGUGAGAAUCCCGUAUGCGGCCAGGUGCCUACGCUCAUGUGAAGCUCCUUCGACGAGUCGAGUUGUUUGGGAAUGCAGCUCAAAAUGGGUGGUAAAUUUCAUCUAAAGCUAAAUAUUGGCCAGAGACCGAUAGCGCACAAGUAGAGUGAUCGAAAGAUGAAAAGCACUUUGGAAAGAGAGUUAAACAGUACGUGAAAUUGUUGAAAGGGAAGCGCUUGCAACCAGACUUGCGCGCGGCUGAUCAUCCGGUGUUCUCACCGGUGCACUCGGCCGUGCUCAGGCCAGCAUCGGUUUUGGCGGCUGGAUAAAGGCCCUAGGAAUGUGGCUCCUCUCGGGGAGUGUUAUAGCCUAGGGUGCAAUGCAGCCUGCUGGGACCGAGGACCGCGCUUCGGCUAGGAUGCUGGCGUAAUGGUUGUAAGCGGCCCGUCUUGAAACACGGACCAAGGAGUCUAACAUCUAUGCGAGUGUUUGGGUGUCAAACCCAUACGCGUAAUGAAAGUGAACGGAGGUGAGAACCCUUAAGGGUGCAUCAUCGACCGAUCCUGAUGUCUUCGGAAGGAUUUGAGUAAGAGCAUAGCUGUUGGGACCCGAAAGAUGGUGAACUAUGCCUGAAUAGGGUGAAGCCAGAGGAAACUCUGGUGGAGGCUCGCAGCGGUUCUGACGUGCAAAUCGAUCGUCAAAUUUGGG
RNAcentral lists this ribosomal RNA (839 nucleotides) under Pseudogymnoascus sp. RNAcentral's name for it is "partial large subunit ribosomal RNA". It matches the Rfam family "Eukaryotic large subunit ribosomal RNA", at positions 55 to 915 of the family's 3401-position model. The record is from RNAcentral. Lineage: Eukaryota; Fungi; Ascomycota; Leotiomycetes; Thelebolales; Thelebolaceae.